CGUCUAUAUACGUAUAGCAUAUCAAUAAGCGGAGGAAAAGAAACUAACAAGGAUUCCCUUAGUAACGGCGAGUGAAGCGGGAAGAGCUCAAAUUUGAAAUCUUCAAGGUUCUACCUUGACGAAUUGUAGUUUAAAGAAGUGUUUUCUGUUAGAGGAGUAGCAAAAGUUCCUUGGAAUGGGACAUCAUAGAGGGUGAGAAUCCCGUAUUUGGUUAUUCUUUCUAGCUUUGUGAUACACUUUCAAAGAGUCGGAUUGUUUGGGAAUGCAGUCCAAAAUGGGUGGUAAAUUUCAUCUAAAGCUAAAUAUUGGCGAGAGACCGAUAGCGAACAAGUACCGUGAGGGAAAGAUGAAAAGAACUUUGAAAAGAGAGUUAAACAGUACGUGAAAUUGUCAAAAGGGAAGCGUUUGACACCAGUGUUGUUUUUCCGAAAAUCAAUUAAGAACGGCUUGAUUUUGUGUUGUAUUGACCUUAUCAGCUUUCUUCACUCUUUUUCGAGUCUUUCUUAAUGCACUUUUCGGUCAACAAGUCAACAUCAAUUUCUUUUGUUGUAAAAGGGUAUUUGGAAGGUGGCUUUCUUUUCGGAGAAAGUGUUUAUAGCCUUAUACCUCUACAAUCGGAGAGAUUGAGGUCUGCAGCGUAGAUCCUUCGGGGCUAGAUACACUUGUGCUAAGUUAUAGCUUUUCAUAGACAACUUGUUGACUAUGUUUAGUCAUGUAGCUUACCCGCCUGUGCUAUUUUACCUACGCUUAGGAUGUUGAGUCAUCACACAUCUCU
Molecule: ribosomal RNA, 775 nt
Filed under: uncultured Neocallimastigales
Lineage: Eukaryota; Fungi; Neocallimastigomycota; Neocallimastigomycetes; Neocallimastigales
Description: partial large subunit ribosomal RNA
Rfam family: Eukaryotic large subunit ribosomal RNA
Source: RNAcentral